Long non-coding RNA from Orbicella faveolata, 372 nucleotides. The record is from RefSeq and is a predicted model, not a curated record. Lineage: Eukaryota; Metazoa; Cnidaria; Anthozoa; Scleractinia; Merulinidae.
UGCUGUUUGCUUGUGGUUAGCAUUUAAGGGGUGAAGAGGAAAGUGAGUAAGUGUGUCCUACCAUGAAUUAUAUGCCCCUGGAGGUAAUGGGCCAGCAUCAAUGAGUUGAAUCCAUGAUCUUGAAAAUAAUUAUGUUGACAGUUGCAUUUUCCACUGUUGUUACAUGUACCAUUGGUUUGGGAGGCCUGUUGAUGCAACAGCACAUACUUUAACCUCUGUUAUGUUUAUAUGAUACCUUUAGACUAUUCAAAAGGAUUUGGUGGAAAAUACGGAGUUCAGAAGGACAGGGUUGACAAGGCAGCAGUUGACUGGAACUAUGAGGGCAAAACGGAAGCACAUGCUUCUCAAAAAGAUUACUCCAACGGAUUUGGU